Molecule: ribosomal RNA, 447 nt
Filed under: uncultured bacterium
Lineage: Bacteria
Description: partial 16S ribosomal RNA
Rfam family: Bacterial small subunit ribosomal RNA
Source: RNAcentral
GACGAACGCUGGCGGCAGGCCUAACACAUGCAAGUCGAACGCCCCGCAAGGGGAGUGGCAGACGGGUGAGUAACACGUGGGAACCUUCCCAACAGUACGGAAUAGCCCAGGGAAACUUGGAGUAAUACCGUAUAUUCCCGAGAGGGGAAAGAUUUAUCGCUGUUGGAUGGGCCCGCGUCGGAUUAGCUAGUUGGUGAGGUAACGGCUCACCAAGGCGACGAUCCGUAGCUGGUUUGAGAGAAUGACCAACCACACUGGGACUGAGACACGGCCCAGACUCCUACGGGAGGCAGCAGUGGGGAAUCUUGGACAAUGGGCGCAAGCCUGAUCCAGCCAUGCCGCGUGAGUGACGAAGGCCUUAGGGUUGUAAAGCUCUUUUGCCGGGGACGAUAAUGACGGUACCCGGAGAAUAAGUCCCGGCUAACUUCGUGCCAGCCGCCGCUGUAA